Molecule: ribosomal RNA, 2930 nt
Filed under: Escherichia coli O157
Lineage: Bacteria; Pseudomonadati; Pseudomonadota; Gammaproteobacteria; Enterobacterales; Enterobacteriaceae
Description: bacterial LSU rRNA
Rfam family: Bacterial large subunit ribosomal RNA
Source: RNAcentral
GGGUUGUGAGGUUAAGCGACUAAGCGUACACGGUGGAUGCCCUGGCAGUCAGAGGCGAUGAAGGACGUGCUAAUCUGCGAUAAGCGUCGGUAAGGUGAUAUGAACCGUUAUAACCGGCGAUUUCCGAAUGGGGAAACCCAGUGUGAUUCGUCACACUAUCAUUAACUGAAUCCAUAGGUUAAUGAGGCGAACCGGGGGAACUGAAACAUCUAAGUACCCCGAGGAAAAGAAAUCAACCGAGAUUCCCCCAGUAGCGGCGAGCGAACGGGGAGGAGCCCAGAGCCUGAAUCAGUGUGUGUGUUAGUGGAAGCGUCUGGAAAGGCGCGCGAUACAGGGUGACAGCCCCGUACACAAAAAUGCACAUGCUGUGAGCUCGAUGAGUAGGGCGGGACACGUGGUAUCCUGUCUGAAUAUGGGGGACCAUCCUCCAAGGCUAAAUACUCCUGACUGACCGAUAGUGAACCAGUACCGUGAGGGAAAGGCGAAAAGAACCCCGGCGAGGGGAGUGAAAAAGAACCUGAAACCGUGUACGUACAAGCAGUGGGAGCACAGAGCAAUCUGUGUGACUGCGUACCUUUUGUAUAAUGGGUCAGCGACUUAUAUUCUGUAGCAAGGUUAACCGAAUAGGGGAGCCGAAGGGAAACCGAGUCUUAACUGGGCGUUAAGUUGCAGGGUAUAGACCCGAAACCCGGUGAUCUAGCCAUGGGCAGGUUGAAGGUUGGGUAACACUAACUGGAGGACCGAACCGACUAAUGUUGAAAAAUUAGCGGAUGACUUGUGGCUGGGGGUGAAAGGCCAAUCAAACCGGGAGAUAGCUGGUUCUCCCCGAAAGCUAUUUAGGUAGCGCCUCGUGAAUUCAUCUCCGGGGGUAGAGCACUGUUUCGGCAAGGGGGUCAUCCCGACUUACCAACCCGAUGCAAACUGCGAAUACCGGAGAAUGUUAUCACGGGAGACACACGGCGGGUGCUAACGUCCGUCGUGAAGAGGGAAACAACCCAGACCGCCAGCUAAGGUCCCAAAGUCAUGGUUAAGUGGGAAACGAUGUGGGAAGGCCCAGACAGCCAGGAUGUUGGCUUAGAAGCAGCCAUCAUUUAAAGAAAGCGUAAUAGCUCACUGGUCGAGUCGGCCUGCGCGGAAGAUGUAACGGGGCUAAACCAUGCACCGAAGCUGCGGCAGCGACACUGUGUGUUGUUGGGUAGGGGAGCGUUCUGUAAGCCUGUGAAGGUGUGCUGUGAGGCAUGCUGGAGGUAUCAGAAGUGCGAAUGCUGACAUAAGUAACGAUAAAGCGGGUGAAAAGCCCGCUCGCCGGAAGACCAAGGGUUCCUGUCCAACGUUAAUCGGGGCAGGGUGAGUCGACCCCUAAGGCGAGGCCGAAAGGCGUAGUCGAUGGGAAACAGGUUAAUAUUCCUGUACUUGGUGUUACUGCGAAGGGGGACGGAGAAGGCUAUGUUGGCCGGGCGACGGUUGUCCCGGUUUAAGCGUGUAGGCUGGUUUUCCAGGCAAAUCCGGAAAAUCAAGGCUGAGGCGUGAUGACGAGGCACUACGGUGCUGAAGCAACAAAUGCCCUGCUUCCAGGAAAAGCCUCUAAGCAUCAGGUAACAUCAAAUCGUACCCCAAACCGACACAGGUGGUCAGGUAGAGAAUACCAAGGCGCUUGAGAGAACUCGGGUGAAGGAACUAGGCAAAAUGGUGCCGUAACUUCGGGAGAAGGCACGCUGAUAUGUAGGUGAAGUCCCUCGCGGAUGGAGCUGAAAUCAGUCGAAGAUACCAGCUGGCUGCAACUGUUUAUUAAAAACACAGCACUGUGCAAACACGAAAGUGGACGUAUACGGUGUGACGCCUGCCCGGUGCCGGAAGGUUAAUUGAUGGGGUCAGCGCAAGCGAAGCUCUUGAUCGAAGCCCCGGUAAACGGCGGCCGUAACUAUAACGGUCCUAAGGUAGCGAAAUUCCUUGUCGGGUAAGUUCCGACCUGCACGAAUGGCGUAAUGAUGGCCAGGCUGUCUCCACCCGAGACUCAGUGAAAUUGAACUCGCUGUGAAGAUGCAGUGUACCCGCGGCAAGACGGAAAGACCCCGUGAACCUUUACUAUAGCUUGACACUGAACAUUGAGCCUUGAUGUGUAGGAUAGGUGGGAGGCUUUGAAGUGUGGACGCCAGUCUGCAUGGAGCCGACCUUGAAAUACCACCCUUUAAUGUUUGAUGUUCUAACGUGGACCCGUGAUCCGGGUUGCGGACAGUGUCUGGUGGGUAGUUUGACUGGGGCGGUCUCCUCCUAAAGAGUAACGGAGGAGCACGAAGGUUGGCUAAUCCUGGUCGGACAUCAGGAGGUUAGUGCAAUGGCAUAAGCCAGCUUGACUGCGAGCGUGACGGCGCGAGCAGGUGCGAAAGCAGGUCAUAGUGAUCCGGUGGUUCUGAAUGGAAGGGCCAUCGCUCAACGGAUAAAAGGUACUCCGGGGAUAACAGGCUGAUACCGCCCAAGAGUUCAUAUCGACGGCGGUGUUUGGCACCUCGAUGUCGGCUCAUCACAUCCUGGGGCUGAAGUAGGUCCCAAGGGUAUGGCUGUUCGCCAUUUAAAGUGGUACGCGAGCUGGGUUUAGAACGUCGUGAGACAGUUCGGUCCCUAUCUGCCGUGGGCGCUGGAGAACUGAGGGGGGCUGCUCCUAGUACGAGAGGACCGGAGUGGACGCAUCACUGGUGUUCGGGUUGUCAUGCCAAUGGCACUGCCCGGUAGCUAAAUGCGGAAGAGAUAAGUGCUGAAAGCAUCUAAGCACGAAACUUGCCCCGAGAUGAGUUCUCCCUGACCCUUUAAGGGUCCUGAAGGAACGUUGAAGACGACGACGUUGAUAGGCCGGGUGUGUAAGCGCAGCGAUGCGUUGAGCUAACCGGUACUAAUGAACCGUGAGGCUUAACCUUACAACGCCGAAGGUGUUU